RNAcentral lists this ribosomal RNA (505 nucleotides) under uncultured Glomus. RNAcentral describes it as "SSU rRNA". It matches the Rfam family "Eukaryotic small subunit ribosomal RNA", at positions 569 to 1078 of the family's 1831-position model. The record is from RNAcentral. Lineage: Eukaryota; Fungi; Glomeromycota; Glomeromycetes; Glomerales; Glomeraceae.
AGCAGCCGCGGUAAUUCCAGCUCCAAUAGCGUAUAUUAAAGUUGUUGCAGUUAAAAAGCUCGUAGUUGAAUUUCGGGGUUAGCAGGUCGGUCGUGCCAUCGGUAUGAACUGGUCUCGCUGAUCCCUCCCUCUUGACGAACUGUGAUGCCAUUAAUUUGGUGUCGCAGGGAAUCAGGGCUGUUACUUUGAAAAAAUUAGAGUGUUUAAAGCAGGCUCACGCUCGAAUACAUUAGCAUGGAAUAAUGAAAUAGGACGUUUGAUCCUAUUUUGUUGGCUUCUAGGAUUGACGUAAUGAUUAAUAGGGAUAGUUGGGGGCAUUAGUAUUCAAUUGUCAGAGGUGAAAUUCUUGGAUUUAUUGAAGACUAACUACUGCGAAAGCAUUUGCCAAGGAUGUUUUCAUUAAUCAAGAACGAAAGUUAGGGGAUCGAAGACGAUCAGAUACCGUCGUAGUCUUAACCAUAAACUAUGCCGACUAGGGAUCGGAUGAUGUCAAUUUAAUGACUCA